GUCUUCUUCUUUCCCAAGCAAUGUCUCUUGGUGUCUCCAACAUAGAUAGUUGUUUCGAUAAACGUUUUUUCGGUUUCUGUGAGGCCACCGGAGUUGUUGCUGCCGUUUUGGCCUCGCCGAGGGGCGGUGUUAAGACUGAUAACGUGAGGUUGUCUCUUCUUCUCACCAUUUUUUAUAUUUAUACCACUUGAUGUUUUAUGAAGAUGUGGCUUGUGAAUGCAACUUAGGGUUCUUCUUUCUUGGUUUUAUUACUAUCAAAGCUUUAAUAAGCUUAUGAAUGAUGUUGUGUGUUUUUAAUAUAUGUUCUUUGUGAGAUGGCCGCGUGCGAACAUGUAGCGCGGCCAACAAAGAGGUUAAAGUGGGUCGGGUUGAUCAGAUAUGUCUUUGUUUUUUUAUGCCCUUUUCUUGUUAGGUUUUGCCCAACCCGACCAAAUAAACUUUGAGGAGACUCGAGGUGCUUUAAUGGAGGAUGUCAAGUUAGUUUCCACCAUUGAAUUCUAUGUAAGCUAUUUUUCUCUAUUGUUUAAAUUUGAUGAUUGACUCAACCAUAUCUUUAGGAACUUCUUUGUUUAGAUUUAUUUGACCAUUCCAAGAAAAGAGUCCUAGUCUAUUUCGAUCAAGGCAAGUUUCGAAACAAUAUGGUUUAUGAGUUUCUAUAUUUAGAUAAAACGAAUUCUUGUUGUAAUAGCUUGUGCCAAAAGAAAAGAAAACAGGUCUUUUUAACUUCACUAACAAUAUGUUCAACAUGGUUUUAGUAAUCCUCUCAUCCAAGUAUUCUCUAACUAUGUACGCUUCUCUUUCAGACAGAAAAACUGAGAAUGAGAAACACACCAACACACUACUACACUAGUAACCUCAAUGCAUAGAAGACAAAGUGAGAAAAUAGAAAACGAAGAAGAGUGUUGGACCACACGAUAUAUGUCUAGCAUGGUCUUUGUUUCUUGUUGAUCUAAGGCAAGUCACGUGUUCUGAAUUUCAUGGUCAGGUCAGCUAUAUGGAAACUCUACCUCAUCAGGAACUAGAUCAAUAUAUAAUGGAAGAGAAACUAUGGUCGGUCAGACGCGUUAGCGAAAGAAACAAGAUCCAAAUGCUAUAUUUUCUUCCAUAUAGAUCAGACGCGUACAGACGGAGGUGUUCCAUGAAAAAUCGGCUCGUCUGACCAACACUUGAUCUAUCUUAAAUGGCCAGCUGACAAAAAAAAAGGAAGUCACUUAUCCAAUCAUACAAGCAGGUCUAUGCCAGGAGAUUCUCCUUGCACGAAAUCAAACAUGGAACUCAAAAGUUUGACGAUUCCAACAUCACUCGAGUUAUACGACACUUUUUAACAUUUACAC
This 1334-nucleotide long non-coding RNA is filed under the name Brassica napus (rape). RNAcentral describes it as "long non-coding RNA (BNAP_LNC017174)". Lineage: Eukaryota; Viridiplantae; Streptophyta; Magnoliopsida; Brassicales; Brassicaceae. The record is from RNAcentral.